Molecule: non-coding RNA, 775 nt
Filed under: Tetrastemma olgarum
Lineage: Eukaryota; Metazoa; Nemertea; Enopla; Monostilifera; Tetrastemmatidae
Source: RNAcentral
UUUUUGGCUUUGGAUUAUUUUUUGGCUUUUUUUAUUAUUUACAUGAGAAUAUAAGUUUACUAAUUUUUUUUUUUUCCUUAAUGGGCAAAUGGAGUAGCUUCAGUGAAUAGUUUUAUAGAUUAAAUAAGUUUAGAGAUAGCAAUAAAAAAAAGAAAUAGCUAAUUGUGUGCCAACUGCUGCGGUUAUACAUUUAUUUCAAGUUAAAAUUUUCAGUAAAAAUAAAAUUGUUGAUAAAUUUUUUUUAGAAAUUAAUUUUUUGUUUUUUGGUAAAAUAAGAAUAGUAAUUAUUGUGUUUUCUGUUGUUUUUUUUAUUGUUUUUAAAAUCUGGUUUAAAACUGGGAUUAGAUACCCCAUUAUUAAGAUCUGAAUUUUUUUUCUAAGGUAUUAAGUUUUUGAAACCUAAAAAGCUUGGCGGUUCUUUAUAUCCUGUUAGGGGAGCCUGUUUUUUGAUCGAUAAUCCGCGUUUUAUCUUACUUUUUUUAGAUGUUUGUAUACUUCUGUCGUCAGCAAACUUUUAAAAAUUAUUGUAGUUUGCUUUAAAAUUUGUGUUUUUACGUCAAGUCAAAGUGCAGCUUAUAAAUUAGUUGAAAUGGGCUACAUUGAUUAAUUUUUCGGAUUUUAGAUGAAAAUUGAAAGUGAAGUUGGACUUAAUAGUAAAGAUUUUAAGAAUAUUUUCUUGAAUUUGGUUUGAAGUGUGCACAAAUCGCCCGUCGCUCUUUCUGAUAGGAAAGAUAAGUCGUAACAUAGUAAAGGUAAUGGAAAUUGCUUUUAGUUU